GGAGGUGAGGGCGAUCUGGCUGCAACAUCUGUCGUCCCACUGGUUGCCAGGGUUGAUCUGGCUGGCUUGGUGGGUGUCCCCUUCCUCCCUCACCGUCCCAUGAGCGUCUCAUGUGGUGUGCGCUCGGUGGAAGAUGAUGACAAUCCUAGAUAGAAAGAAUGUACCAAGUGUAUAUGAUAGCUGUACUCCUCUGCUACAACCUCCCAGCAAGCUCAAGGUCCCUUUCAACUGGCUGCUCUUCAACCAUGUAAGUUGAAAUCAUGUAAGGUAUGAGUUACCUGUGUAU
Molecule: non-coding RNA, 286 nt
Organism: Podarcis lilfordi (Lilford's wall lizard)
Lineage: Eukaryota; Metazoa; Chordata; Lepidosauria; Squamata; Lacertidae
Source: the annotation of a GenBank genome assembly